This 524-nucleotide ribosomal RNA is filed under the name uncultured bacterium. RNAcentral's name for it is "partial 16S ribosomal RNA". It matches the Rfam family "Bacterial small subunit ribosomal RNA", at positions 355 to 895 of the family's 1533-position model. The record is from RNAcentral.
UGGGGAAUAUUGGACAAUGGGCGCAAGCCUGAUCCAGCCAUGCCGCGUGAGUGAUGAAGGCCUUAGGGUUGUAAAGCUCUUUCGCCGGUGAAGAUAAUGACGGUAACCGGAGAAGAAGCCCCGGCUAACUUCGUGCCAGCAGCCGCGGUAAUACGAAGGGGGGCUAGCGUUGCUCGGAAUCACUGGGCGUAAAGCGCACGUAGGCGGAUCGUUAAGUCAGGGGUGAAAUCCUGGAGCUCAACUCCAGAACUGCCCUUGAUACUGGCGAUCUCGAGUUCGAGAGAGGUUGGUGGAACUCCGAGUGUAGAGGUGAAAUUCGUAGAUAUUCGGAAGAACACCAGUGGCGAAGGCGGCCAACUGGCUCGAUACUGACGCUGAGGUGCGAAAGCGUGGGGAGCAAAACAGGAUUAGAUACCCUGGUAGUCCACGCCGUAAACGAUGGAUGCUAGCCGUUGGGGGGUUUACCUCUCAGUGGCGCAGCUAACGCCUUAAGCAUCCCGCCUGGGGAGUACGGUCGCAAGAUU